RNAcentral lists this transfer RNA (73 nucleotides) under Spirochaetales bacterium. RNAcentral describes it as "tRNA-Pro". It matches the Rfam family "tRNA". From Rfam's summary of the family: Transfer RNA (tRNA) molecules are approximately 80 nucleotides in length. Their secondary structure includes four short double-helical elements and three loops (D, anti-codon, and T loops). The record is from RNAcentral. Lineage: Bacteria; Pseudomonadati; Spirochaetota; Spirochaetia; Spirochaetales.
CGGGAAGUGGGAUAGUGGCUAAUCCGUCUGGUUUGGGGCCAGAAUAUCGGGGGUUCGAAUCCCCCCUUCCCGA